Molecule: ribosomal RNA, 428 nt
Filed under: uncultured prokaryote
Description: bacterial SSU rRNA
Rfam family: Bacterial small subunit ribosomal RNA
Source: RNAcentral
UGAGGAAUCUUCCGCAAUGGGCGAAAGCCUGACGGAGCAACGCCGCGUGAAUGAAGAAGGCCUUCGGGUCGUAAAGUUCUGUCUUUUGGGAAGAAGUCUCUAUGGGUAAAUAAUCCAUAGAGGUGACGGUACCAGAGGAGGAAGCUCCGGCUAACUACGUGCCAGCAGCCGCGGUAAUACGUAGGGAGCAAGCGUUGUCCGGAAUUACUGGGCGUAAAGGGCGCGUAGGCGGGUAUUUAAGUCAGAUGUGAAAGCUCCGGGCUCAACUUGGAGAGUGCAUUUGAAACUGGGUAUCUUGAGGGCAGGAGAGGAAAGUGGAAUUCCUAGUGUAGCGGUGGAAUGCGUAGAUAUUAGGAGGAACACCAGUGGCGAAGGCGACUUUCUGGACUGUACCUGACGCUGAGGCGCGAAAGCAUGGGGAGCGAACA